GUUUUAUUUUGUUUCUUAUUACACUGUUUUUUGGUUUCUAGCAUUAGAUUCUUUACCAGAAUUUCCAUCUCUCUGCUUACAUUACCCAUCUGUUUCUUGCAUGUUGCCUACUUUUCCUAUUUGAGCCCUUAACAAUGAUUUUUGAAUUCCCUGUUGCUUGCUUGAUCUGUGUUCUUUUUUCUUUUUUCUUUUUUUUUUUUUUGAGACGGAGUCUCGCCCUGUUGCCCAGGCUGGAGUGCAGUGGCCGGAUCUCAGCUCACUGUAACCUCUGCCUCCCGGGUUCAAGAGUUUCUCCUGCGUCAGCCUCCCGAGCAGCUGGGAUUACAGGUGCCCGCCACCACGCCUGGCUAAUUUUUGUAUUUUUAGUAGAGACGGGGUUUCACCGUGUUGGCCAGACUGGUCUCAAACUCCUGACCUCGUGAUCCUCCCACCUUGGCCUCCCAAAGUGCUGGGAUUACAGGCAUGAUCCACCGUGCCCAGCCCUUGAUCUAUGUUCUUAUUUGCUUUUUAGCAUGCCUUGUAAUUUUUGUUGAAAGUUGGACAUGUAUUGGGUAAUAGGCACUGAGAUAAAUAGGCAUCUAGUAUGAGGAUUCGUGUUCAUUUGGCUAGGAGUUGGGCUUUGUUUAGCUCUGUUGGUGUGGUGGUAAGGCACGAGGGAGAGAAGUGUUCUCAAUCUUAGCGAUUAAAUCUUAAGUCUCUUAGUGGGCCUGAGUCUCUGGCCUGGGACCUUCACUUAUGCUUCUUUUUGGAAAGCUUUCCUGUCCCUCUCAGGUGAGACAGGAAGAGGAGAAAUGGCUAGAGUGAGAGGAGUACUUUUCCCCCAUGGCUCUAGGACAAGCCUAAAGCCUGGUUAAGUGUUUCCCCCGAGGAGUUUAUUUUCUUUUAUCAUUUUUAUUUCAUUAUGAAGAAAGCUCUGGACAUAUUUCAUAAGAAUUGCUCUUCCCCUCCUGCAAGAACUAUGCUGGCAUCUUUCUCUGAUCUUCACAAUGAGAAACUGGUGGGAUUCCUAGAGGUCAUGUUCACAAAACCAAGAGGCUUUCCCCAAGACUGUGUUCCCGGAAGUGAGCCUACCAGUUUAGAGAUCCAGCACUUCUGCUCCAGCAAAGAACCUGUCCCAGCUGUGGUUAGAGAGAGACAUGAUGAAGGAAAAAGUGUCAGAGAGAAUGUGGUGUUGCUGGCAUUGAAGAUGGAUAAAGGGACCACGAACCAAGAAAUGCAGGUGGCCUCUAGAAGCUGGAAAGGUAAGAAAGCAGAUUCUCUCCUAGAGCUCCCAGAAGAGACACAGCCUUGCCAAUGCCUUGAUUUUAGAAUUUCUUGUCUGCAAAAACAUAAGGUCAUAAAGUUGUCUCAUUUUAAGCCACUAAGUUUGUGGUCCUUUGUUAAAGCUGCAAUAGACAACCAAUAUGCUUUCUAGCUGUAUGACUUUCUGAGUCUUGGCUUCCUCAACCAUAAAAAAUGGUAAUUGUCUUAUGGAGUGUAUAUGUGUGGAUGAACUGAGAUUAUGUACGUAAAGUCCAUUGUUAAUAAUUUCGUAUAUUAGUAUUGGAAGUCCAGUCCUAAAGAGUCUGAUUAUUUUCCCUGACCUCCAGAGUGGGCCCGGCUGCCAGCUGGUGAGUGGCUGCAUCUGGGUGUGUUGUCCAGGCCUUGCUGUUGGUGGGAUGUGUGCACCAGCAGCAGCUGCCUCGCCUUGGGAGCUCAUUAGGAUUGGGAUUGCCGAAUGUCAGGCACUCACCUCAGACUGACUCAGAAUCUGGAUUUUUAGACAAGAUCCCCAGGUGAUUCCCAGGCGUUUUAGAGUGUGAGACACACUGGACUAGUAGUUUUCCAACAUCACAUAUGCUAACAGAACAGAUGCCUGGGCCCAGAAUUUAUGGACGUGGGCUUUCAACGUGUGUAUUUUUAAUAUGCUUUCCGGUUAUUUCUAAUGCACAGAGUGUGGCUAACCAUCCAAAUAAAUGCUUAGAAAUGUACUUUAAUGUAUGAGAUUCAAAUCAGAAUUGCAAAAUUUUAAAUUAAUACUUUUUUCUCUAAGGAAAACAGCUGUGCUACAUAAGUGUGUAUUACUGAGUACUAUAUUUUAAAAAGAUACAUAAAGGAAUAAACAUCAAAGAACAGCAGAGACACGUUCUUGCUAGUUCUUAACUGUUAUGAUUCCAGUUCUGGCUUUAUCAUAUCAUAGACUCUUCUUUCAGAAGACUCAUCCCGUGUGCUUAAUGCAGAAGCAAUUAGACAAACCUGUGGAACUUUGGCAUUAAAAGCUUUCAGCUGUUUUUAAGAAGAGACCUUGUUAACUGCUGAUUACAAUGAUCAGAAGACAAAGCUCUCUCUGUUCUAGGAGUACCUGCAUCCCUUCCUCCACAGACAGCAGCAUAAGGAGCGAGUUGAGCAGCUUUCAUUGAGGCAGCUCAGCCGUGCUUCCAGGGGGCCGAGAUCCAGAGCACAGAUACAUUCCACGAACCAAAACUAGACUGAUUUCUCUCCAGAACGCCCAGGCCAGAAGAUGCAGAGAUGAGAGCUCCAGGCUGAGUCUGGACAGAGGGCUCGGAUUCAGCCUCUCACCCUGGAGCUCCAACAGAGGGUAAGGGCUAGGGACAGGAGCUAAAAUUGAGAAGACAGGGCUGAGUGCCCACAAGGCCAGAAGGGCAGCAGAUGAGGAAGGCAGUGUGGUGUUCCUGGACAGUUGCCAUGGACAGCUGUGAGGCACUUGUGGCUCUUGUUUCUUAGGCAGCAAGGGUGUGGUGCAGGUGCGUUGGGCUGCCUUUUAGCUGCAAUGUGGAGAUGAGCCCCAUACCCUCAUUACUUCCACCAUAAAAAGCAGAGACUUAGAGCUAGCCAAGAGGAGGCCUAGAGAAAACUUGUCGUUGUAGCCAUUGAGGGCUUGGCAGCCCUGCAUACUAACUGCAAGGGCUGAUAUGGAGGAGAACAGGGCCCCGGAUGGCCUUGGCUGACCCGACUCUGCUUCCUCCGGCUUCAGUACUUGGAAUAUAUGGAGGAUGCAACAUCCUGAUAAGGAGGAAGCGGCAAAGAACCCGGCUGUGUCCUUGAGCCUCCCAAAACAGAAUGUUCUUCCGCACUUCUGCCCAGUGAGCUAAGUGGUACCAGGGGUGGAAAACCCAAAGCAGAGCACUUUCAGGGUCCCUCAGCUGUGGCGCAGUGUGCGGUGGACACGGACGAGACUCCACCUGCCCCACACAGCUCUCCGAAUCUUGGGGCACCAGCUUGGCAUGGAUCCUAGGCUUCUGAUAUCCUUGCCACCUAUCGGUGAGUAAUACAGCUGCUUUGCCUGACGUGUGAGAGUGUUCUGUCUCACCAAACUCAUGCACAUGGCAGAGAACCUUUGCACUGUGAGGACCGUACUUUACCAGUGUUCAGACCUCUAGAAAUAGCCUCCUGAGGUCUCACCAGGCCUGACUUACUGGCCCAGAGUAUCAAAGGUUGUGCCCACAGAGGAGCGUCUUCUUUAGGGUUUGGCCAUGCAGGUCUGUACACGGUAAACAUACCUGAUAGCAAUAACUUAAGCAUACCCUGAGAAUGACUUUGUAUGGCAGACGCACCUGAAUGUGGUCUUGAGUUCCAAGCUGAGGAACCCAGAGUAGCCAACCUGGAGAUUCAUUCCAUGUCAAUGAGGAACAUCUGAGCCCUGGCCCUGUCCCGUAACAUGCAGGCCAUGCAGGGGCUCGCGGCCUUUGUUUUAGGUUGAAAGAAGGUUGCCAGGUGGAGGUGCUUAGGGAGAGGGUGUUAAGUGCUAUAGAAACUGCAUGCUUUUUGUAAGUGGUUGUGGUUCUUCUGUCCAGCCAGCAACCACUGGACUCUCACUUGUAUGUAAGUCCCCAGUAAAACCUGUCUCAUUUGCUGGCUCUAGGUCUCUUCUUUGUUCUCUUGAACCUGGUGUCAUCCUCCAUUGGAGUCAUAGGGGUUCAGCACAACAGUCUGCAAGCAGAAACUGCUGUACUAUUCUGGAUUCUCCACUUCAGUGAACACACAAUUACAAUUUCCUGUUAGAAAAAAAUAAAAAGAUAUUUUUUUCUACACUUCUUUCACAGUCCUAA
Molecule: long non-coding RNA, 4049 nt
Filed under: Papio anubis (olive baboon)
Lineage: Eukaryota; Metazoa; Chordata; Mammalia; Primates; Cercopithecidae
Description: lncRNA (ENSPANG00000048680.1)
Source: RNAcentral